RNAcentral lists this ribosomal RNA (253 nucleotides) under uncultured bacterium. RNAcentral describes it as "partial 16S ribosomal RNA". It matches the Rfam family "Bacterial small subunit ribosomal RNA", at positions 524 to 776 of the family's 1533-position model. The record is from RNAcentral.
UACGUAGGCAGCGAGCGUUGUUCGGAGUUACUGGGCGUAAAGAGUGCGUAGGCGGUUUUCUAAGUUUGGUGUGAAAUCUCCCGGCUCAACCGGGAGGGUGCGCGGAAAACUGGCGGGCUAGAGUGCGGGAUGGGAGAGUAGAAUUCCUGGUGUAGCGGUGAAAUGCGUAGAUAUCAGGAGGAAUACCGGUGGUGUAGACGGCUCUCUGGACCGCAACUGACGCUGAAACACGAAAGCGUGGGUAGCAAACAGG